GUGAAAUUGUUGAAAGGGAAACGAUUAAAGUCAGUCGUACCUACGAGUGAUCAACCUACUCGAGUGCGAUUUUGUGGGUAUGUUAGAGUUUAAACCUUCAUGCUUACAAAUUGGUGCUCUUUGGGCGUACUUUCUCGUAUGGUAGGUUAACAUCAAUUUCGAUCGUUAUAAAAUGACUGGAGGAAUGUGGCUUCGAUCUCGUAUUGAAGUGUUAUAACCUUUGGUAGAUGUGAUGUUUGAGACCGAGGAUUGCAACGGAUACCCUUCUGGGCUAUUCGUCUGAUCUCUGAAACGUUGCCUUGAUGUCGAAAGCUUGCUUAUGAUGUUAGGGUAUUACGGUCAAAAGGUUAGAACGGAUUAAAUUCGUUAAGGAUGUUGACGUAAUGGCUUUAAACGAC
Molecule: ribosomal RNA, 398 nt
Filed under: uncultured Glomeraceae
Lineage: Eukaryota; Fungi; Glomeromycota; Glomeromycetes; Glomerales; Glomeraceae
Description: eukaryotic LSU rRNA
Source: RNAcentral